RNAcentral lists this ribosomal RNA (484 nucleotides) under uncultured bacterium. RNAcentral describes it as "partial 16S ribosomal RNA". It matches the Rfam family "Bacterial small subunit ribosomal RNA", at positions 30 to 507 of the family's 1533-position model. The record is from RNAcentral.
AUUGAACGCUGGCGGCAGGCCUAACACAUGCAAGUCGAGCGGAUGAAGGGAGCUUGCUCCUGGAUUCAGCGGCGGACGGGUGAGUAAUGCCUAGGAAUCUGCCUGGUAGUGGGGGAUAACGUCCGGAAACGGGCGCUAAUACCGCAUACGUCCUGAGGGAGAAAGUGGGGGAUCUUCGGACCUCACGCUCUCAGAUGAGCCGAGGUCGGAUUAGCUAGUUGGUGGGGUAAAGGCCUACCAAGGCGACGAUCCGUAACUGGUCUGAGAGGAUGAUCAGUCACACUGGAACUGAGACACGGUCCAGACUCCUACGGGAGGCAGCAGUGGGGAAUAUUGGACAAUGGGCGAAAGCCUGAUCCAGCCAUGCCGCGUGUGUGAAGAAGGUCUUCGGAUUGUAAAGCACUUUAAGUUGGGAGGAAGGGCAGUAAGUUAAUACCUUGCUGUUUUGACGUUACCAACAGAAUAAGCACCGGCUAACUUCGUG